This 488-nucleotide long non-coding RNA is filed under the name Mus pahari (shrew mouse). Its description in RNAcentral is "zinc finger protein 335, opposite strand (MGP_PahariEiJ_G0003404.1)". The record is from RNAcentral. Lineage: Eukaryota; Metazoa; Chordata; Mammalia; Rodentia; Muridae.
AGGGUUCUCAGAAGAGCAUGUAGUCGGAAAAAGUUCUGGAAGUGGACACCCAAAGGACAUUAGAGUGGACAGUUGAGAAGACAGAAGCCAAGAAGGAAGAGGAGGAACCGUAGCAGGCACUGUCGGGGUGUAUCUGGGAGAGUGUCUAGAAGAACAAAGGCAACAGAAAGGAAGAGUGACUUCAGGCCUGCUCAUGGCUGGGGAAAAACACUCCCAGAAGCCAUAUACUGAUGAGUGAAAAACCCAGUGUGAGGGUGGGCUACCUCUAUACAUUUCUGGACACGGAGUCCUCUGAAGCCUCCAAAACCAUAAAUACUGAUGUCAUGUACUAGAUAGGGUUGUUUUUUGUUUUGUUUUUUGUUUUUUGUCAACACAAGCUAAAAUCAUCUGAGAGGAGGGAACCUCAAUUAAAAUGCCUCCAUGACACUGGGCUGUACAAUAGCUUGUUGGGAAUUAACUAGUGAUUAAUGGGGGGAAGGCCCAGCCCA